RNAcentral lists this long non-coding RNA (660 nucleotides) under Elaeis guineensis (African oil palm). RNAcentral describes it as "long non-coding RNA (EGUI_LNC075760)". Lineage: Eukaryota; Viridiplantae; Streptophyta; Magnoliopsida; Arecales; Arecaceae. The record is from RNAcentral.
CUCUAAGACAAACAAUUUAUAAAUUUUAUUAGCCUUCAACUUGAAGAAAAAUUAAAGUGAAUAAAAAGAGACUCCCAGUUGACGUCUGGGUCAUGAUUUAGAUUAGUUCACAGGCCAAAUCUAUACAGUUUGGAUUGAUCUAAAUUCGAUUGGAUUGCGAUUCAAUCCACUAAUUGGAUUCACUAAAAAGGUUGAAUUCCUUUCCUUUCCCUCUCUCUUCCUCUCUCUUUCUUUCUUUCUUUUCUCUCUCUAUUUCUCUCUUUCUCUCUUUUUCUGUCUUUGUUUCUCUCUUUCUCUCUCUCUCUCUCUUCCGUAGCUGAACUAGUGACAAAGCUUCUAUAGGAGAGUGUAGAGUGGAGGGGUGGAAUCAGCAGUGGUGGCACGACGAUGGCUAGAGGCAGCGGUUCGAUCGAUGGCAAUAGGAUAUCCAAGAGUAAAGAAAAAAAGAUACUCUCUCUCAUGCCAUAGUUGCAUCAUUCAGGCCAAGAAGAAAAAAAAGAGGACGGCUUACUGAAGAUGGUGGUGGCAGCGAGGCUCGGCUGGAUGCUGCAAAUUCUGGUGGGUAUAACACCCAAAAGUUUUCGGAAUAAAGGAGAUAGAGAAGAUCAUAGAGGAAGGAGAGUUUUUUGAGAGAUGAUAGCUUGAUUGCGGUAGUUUGGC